CCUACGGGAGGCAGCAGUGGGGAAUAUUGCACAAUGGGGGAAACCCUGAUGCAGCGACGCCGCGUGAGUGAAGAAGUAAUUCGUUAUGUAAAGCUCUAUCAGCAGGGAAGAAAAAGGCAUACAUGCCUAAAUGACGGUACCUGAACAAGAAGCCCCGGCUAACUACGUGCCAGCAGCCGCGGUAAU
This 186-nucleotide ribosomal RNA is filed under the name uncultured bacterium. RNAcentral's name for it is "partial 16S ribosomal RNA". It matches the Rfam family "Bacterial small subunit ribosomal RNA", at positions 338 to 524 of the family's 1533-position model. The record is from RNAcentral.